GACGAACGCUGGCGGCGUGCUUAACACAUGCAAGUCGAACGGAAAGGCCCUGCUUUUGUGGGGUGCUCGAGUGGCGAACGGGUGAGUAACACGUGAGUAACCUGCCCUUGACUUUGGGAUAACUUCAGGAAACUGGGGCUAAUACCGGAUAGGAGCUCCUGCUGCAUGGUGGGGGUUGGAAAGUUUCGGUGGUUGGGGAUGGACUCGCGGCGUAUCAGCUUGUUGGUGGGGUAGUGGCUUACCAAGGCUUUGACGGGUAGCCGGCCUGAGAGGGUGACCGGCCACAUUGGGACUGAGAUACGGCCCAGACUCAUACGGGAGGCAGCAGUGGGGAAUAUUGCACAAAGGGCGGAAGCCUGCUGCAGCAACGCCGCGUGCGGGAUGACGGCCUUCGGGUUGUAAACCGCUUUCGCCUGUGACGAAGCGUGAGUGACGGUAAUGGGUAAAGAAGCACCGGCUAACUACGU
RNAcentral lists this ribosomal RNA (467 nucleotides) under uncultured bacterium. RNAcentral describes it as "partial 16S ribosomal RNA". It matches the Rfam family "Bacterial small subunit ribosomal RNA", at positions 28 to 506 of the family's 1533-position model. The record is from RNAcentral.